Oncorhynchus kisutch (coho salmon) is the source of this 3873-nucleotide long non-coding RNA. RefSeq lists it as uncharacterized. The transcript is spliced from 3 exons. NCBI's taxonomy places the organism in Eukaryota, Metazoa, Chordata, Actinopteri, Salmoniformes, Salmonidae. The record is from RefSeq and is a predicted model, not a curated record.
UGAAGCUAGGACUGCUGCAUAGUCACAUGCCAAGAGGCGACAAGGAAAGAGGAAACUUGUGAUAAAAUUUAUCGAUUAUAGACUUUUUUUGUUGUUGUUACAUUCUAGCCUACAAGUUUGCUGUAGGUUGUAAAUGUUUUAUCAUAGUUUUUUUGUGUAAUAAGCGCGUGCUUGCAUUUUGGAUGGCAACAUUGUCGUAUGAUAUUACCACUGCAACAUAGCCUUGUUGUAGAUAGGCUAAGUCGUUCUAAACUCCAAAGUCGAAGAAGGAAACAUCAUAAAUGUUAGUAGCCUAUUUUCUUUAGUAAUAUUAUGUUGUUUUGCCAAUGUUUUCCGCGUGAAACAUUACUCUGCGGGUUGAUCUUGCAACGUGCUAAACGAGCAGUUAAAAUCAUGUCAACUCAGGACGCCUCACAACACGAUUUUAACCAGAAGCGAUUGAUAGCCAACAAUAGCGGAUCAUUACAGAUUCAUACAACUAAAGCUGAACUAACUGAAGACUCGGAUACCGGUGUCAAGACGAGCAACGACAUGCAAGAAACAAACAGAACAACUGAAAAACAGUUCACAGAGGACGAACUUGCCAUACAUAAAUUACACAGAGAAGCAUGUGAGGCUAAGAGGCAGAUGUACAUGGACCCAGGCAGCGGCUACAAGGUGUUCACAGAGUUUGCCCACCGCCAGAGAGGAAAGUGCUGCGGCAACGCCUGUAGACAUUGUCCAUUUGGCCAAGUCAAUGUGAAAGACCCAGCCAACAAGAAACAUUUUAACUCUAUGUAUUAUGUAUAAUACACCAAACACACUCUGGUUUAGUGUACAAGGCAUGAUAUAGUCUGUGUGCUGUGUUGUUAUUUUGGACUGUUUCAAUGGUGUGUUUUCUUUUUCAGCACCACGAUAAAUGAUGAAAUUUAGAGUGGUGUGUGUGCAAUCCUCUCCUGCUAUGAAUUCUAUGUGUGAUUUUAGUCUCUACAGUAGGACACUGGAAAGGGGGUAGGUCUCUGGAGUCUAAAUUUGUUUUUUGAAUUUUACCCUGUCAAUUAUUUUUUAUAUCAUUUUUCCUCAAAGAUACAAUGAAAAUAUAUAUAUUUUUUUAACCUUGAUUGAUGACUUGACAUGUAUUGUUGGUAUGUGAUUGAAUGUCUGAGAUGGUGAUGUUACUAUAUAGAUUUUCAGAGGGAGUGUAUGAGAUGUACAUCCAUCUCUCUACUGAAUGUCUGAGAUGGUGAUGUUACUAUAUAGAUUUUCAGAGGGAGUGUAUGAGAUAAACAUCCAUCUCUCUACUGAAUGUCUGAGAUGGUGAUGUUACUAUAUAGAUUUUCAGAGGGAGUGUAUGAGAUAAACAUCCAUCUCUCUACUGAAUGUCUGAGAUGGUGAUGUUACUAUAUAGAUUUUCAGAGGGAGUGUAUGAGAUAAACAUCCAUCUCUCUACUGAAUGUCUGCGAUGGUGAUGUUACUAUAUAGAUUUUCAGAGGGAGUGUAUGAGAUGAACAUCCAUCUCUCUACUGAAUGUCUGCGAUGGUGAUGUUACUAUAUAGAUUUUCAGAGGGAGUGUAUGAGAUAAACAUCCAUCUCUCUACUGAAUGUCUGAGAUGGUGAUGUUACUAUAUAGAUUUUCAGAGGGAGUGUAUGAGAUAAACAUCCAUCUCUCUACUGAAUGUCUGCGAUGGUGAUGUUACUAUAUAGAUUUUCAGAGGGAGUGUAUGAGAUGAACAUCCAUCUCUCUACUGAAUGUCUGAGAUGGUGAUGUUACUAUAUAGAUUUUCAGAGGGAGUGUAUGAGAUGAACAUCCAUCUCUCUACUGAAUGUCUGAGAUGGUGAUGUUACUAUAUAGAUUUUCAGAGGGAGUGUAUGAGAUAAACAUCCAUCUCUCUACUGAAUGUCUGCGAUGGUGAUGUUACUAUAUAGAUUUUCAGAGGGAGUGUAUGAGAUAAACAUCCAUCUCUCUACUGAAUGUCUGCGAUGGUGAUGUUACUAUAUAGAUUUUCAGAGGGAGUGUAUGAGAUGAACAUCCAUCUCUCUACUGAAUGUCUGAGAUGGUGAUGUUACUAUAUAGAUUUUCAGAGGGAGUGUAUGAGAUAAACAUCCAUCUCUCUACUGAAUGUCUGCGAUGGUGAUGUUACUAUAUAGAUUUUCAGAGGGAGUGUAUGAGAUGAACAUCCAUCUCUCUACUGUCCCUUUACCCUCCAAAUGUACACAUAUGCACAUUUUUGAAACAUUUAAAACACAAAACAUGUGAGUUGUCUGCCUCCAACGGAAAGGGAUGUGCAAUUUAAAUAGUCACCAGGUCAAGGUUCAUCUCUCAGCUCGCUGGUUGAACGUCAGCUGAUGGAGUCAACCUGUUCACAUACAAACAGUGGACAUCAACAGGCUCACUCCCUGCUGUAUUUCCCAAGGAGCCUUCUGGCAACGCAGGGCUUCUCCAUGUCUCCCUGCAGCUGCUCCCCUGACACACAGCCCUAAUGAACACUGGGGCUCUCACUAGCCCUGCAACACUGGGUGGCAGACCAUCCCGCACCAACACACACACAGGCAUGGGGACACACACAAAUACACAGACGUGGACACAAAAAUACACAGACUUAGACAGACACACAAAAUGGCAAUGAAGGUCGCCUCUAAAAUCUGACUAGAUAUUGUACAAGACACUGCACAGAGUAGUCCUAAAGCCAGACCGAGCUGAAGAUAACCUUCCAUCAGAGUACUGUGUGUGUGUUAAACCAGAGCAGUUUUAAUCUGUGUGACUUGUCACUAGACACAGAAGUCAAUUCGAUGUCUAUUCUACGUUGGUUCAACGUCAUUUCCAUAAAAUGACUUGGAAACCAUGUUGAUUCAACCAGUGUGUGCCCCAGUGGGUUGUGGGUAGGGGCACUGGCUCCAAACCUGCCACACACUCUCCUGUAUCCAUUUGAUCGGGCAAACGGUGUCAGGAUGAGUGAGUGUGUGUGCCGCGGAAUGCUUUCGCAGCCGUCUACUGGCCCGGACAGGUGGGUCCCAAAGGCAAAGUGCUUAGUGAUCAGGAGCAAACCCCAGCGAGCGGCUACAAGGAAAUUCAUGAUCCCAACAGGGCUGAGCAGGACAGGUUCACCGCGACGCGUCGUCAGCCUGGAUGAGAGGCAAAUUUAUUUGGGCGACGGUUGUGAAGCGAGGCAGCAGAGCGUAGCGGCAACAACACUUCGUUCGCCAUUCCGGGUAGAAGGUGUCACAGUCAUCAAGUACCUGGGCCCGCCUGCCUGCCUGCCGCAGGUCUGGGAGUUUUGCCUAGGGACUUGUCUGUCACAUUACGCUAGAUGCAUUGCCAUUCCAGGGCCUGUGCGCUCCUGCAGCCUGACCAUGAAAUAGGCCAACUUUCAUGUCUGCCUCAUCUCUCUCCGUCGCCUCACUCCACUGAUGACACAGUUGGAAAGGUAUUUUUUCUUCUGUGCUACUGAGACACAGCAGCACAGCUCUCAGUCAGUCCCUCCGCAGCGCUAGCUAGACAUAUAUCUGGGAAACUCAUGGUAGCCAGAAGCAGGAAACUGGAAAUGUCCCCCACUCUCUCCAGGCUUGUCAUGUUGUCAGGCCCUUUUCAUGACAUACAGGGCUAUAUUCUCUUCUGGAUUUUCUAUUUCUUUACCUUUUGAUAUUGAAUACUGCCUCGUUGAGGGAAAGCAUUUCCCUCUACUGUUUAUAACUGUUGUGACAAAUAACCUUUGUUUUGAUAUAUUUGUGCAUUCUGGAAUUCUUUAGAAUAUCUCAGGGAAUGUUUUCAAUAUUUUAACCUGUAUUUAAUGUUAUUGUCCUGUGCAAUAAUUAUUAGUAUUGCAUGUAUGUGUAAACAUAGAAAAGAGUGCGAUUGAACUAUUUUGUAAUUGAAUAAAUGAUGUAUUUAAGUAG